Molecule: transfer RNA, 77 nt
Filed under: Chloroflexota bacterium
Lineage: Bacteria; Bacillati; Chloroflexota
Description: Chloroflexi bacterium tRNA-Met
Rfam family: tRNA
About the family: Transfer RNA (tRNA) molecules are approximately 80 nucleotides in length. Their secondary structure includes four short double-helical elements and three loops (D, anti-codon, and T loops). Further hydrogen bonds mediate the characteristic L-shaped molecular structure. tRNAs have two regions of fundamental functional importance: the anti-codon, which is responsible for specific mRNA codon recognition, and the 3' end, to which the tRNAs corresponding amino acid is attached (by aminoacyl-tRNA synthetases). tRNAs cope with the degeneracy of the genetic code in two manners: having more than one tRNA (with a specific anti-codon) for a particular amino acid; and 'wobble' base-pairing, i.e. permitting non-standard base-pairing at the 3rd anti-codon position.
Source: RNAcentral
GGGCCUGUAGCUCAGUGGUCUAGAGCGGCGGACUCAUAAUCUGCUGGUCCUUGGUUCGAAUCCAAGCGGGCCCACCG